RNAcentral lists this long non-coding RNA (2866 nucleotides) under Actinidia chinensis (golden kiwifruit). RNAcentral's name for it is "long non-coding RNA (ACHI_LNC000317)". The record is from RNAcentral. Lineage: Eukaryota; Viridiplantae; Streptophyta; Magnoliopsida; Ericales; Actinidiaceae.
UAAUAAUAUAUAUUGACUGUUUUAUGUUUGUUUUGUUUUGCGAGUACUAAUGCUAUUGACUAUUGGGUUCAACUUCAAGCUCAAGGUAAUUUGGUAUUAUUAGUAAAUGUAAUAUGUUGUACUUUGUCAAUUUCAAAUUAUACUGAAAUGAAUUUUUGAGUAAUGUGUAUUGACUCUUUUGCAUUUGUUGUGUUUUGCGAGAAUUAAUGAUUUUGACUAAGUACUCCCAAAAUACAUGCCUCCGCAUCUUUAAAUAUUGAGGUACGUAUAAUUUUUAAAUUUAUAUUUUUUUUUUGCCCUAAUUAACUUGAACUUGAAAUUUCCCGGGUUCAAUUUCAAACUCAAGUUAAUUAGGUAUUGUUAUACAAUGCCUUAUGUUGUGCUUUUUCCAUAUCAAAAUAUGUUGAGUUUAUUUUUUGUGUAAUAAUAUAUAUUGACUUUUUGCCAUUUUGUUUUGUUUUGUUUUGCGAGUAACUAAAUGCUAUUUGACUUUGGGUUAACUUUAAACUCAAGGUAAGUAGGUAUUAUUAGUAAAUGUCAUAUUUGUACUUUGUCAAUUUCAUAUAUACUGAUUUGAAUUUUUACGUAAUGUGUUUGACUCGCUUGCAUUUUGUUGUGUUUUGCGAGAAUUAAUGAUUUUGACCUAAGUGCUCUUCCCCAAAUAUAUGUCUCCGGCACCUUUAAAUUUGAGGUACGGUAAUACUUAUUUUAAUUUUAUAUGUUUUUCUUACCCUAAUUAACUUGACCUUGAAAUUCCUCGGUUUCAUUUCAAACUCAGUUCAUUAGGUAUUAUUAAACACAUGCCUUAUUUAUACUUGGGUCUAUAUCAAUUAUGUUGAGUGAAUUUUGGUAAUAAUAAAUAUGGACUAACUGUUUUAAUGUUGUUGUUUUUGUUUGGCGAGUACUAAUGCUAUUAAACCUAUUGGUUCCACUUCAGCUCAAGGUAUUAGGUAUUCUUAGGUAAAAUGUCAUAUGUUUGUAGUACUUUGUCAAUUUCAAAUUAUAUACUGAUUUAAUUUUUGCAGAAUGUGUAUUCACUCUUUUGGCAUUUGUUGUGUUUGCGAGAAUCAUGAUUUUGACUAAGUUAACUCUCAAAUACAUGUCUCCGCAUCUUUAAAUAUUGAGUUACGUAAUAAUUGUUUUAAAUUUUUAAGUUUUUUUUUGCCCUAAUUCACUUGAAAUUGAAAUUCCCCGGGUUCAUUUCAAACUCAAGUUCAUUAGGUAUUAUUAAACAUUCUUAUUGUUAUACUUGUCUAUAAUCACAUUUAUGUUGAGGUGAAUUUUGGCUAAUAAUAUAUAUUGACUGGUUUUUAUGUUUGUUGUUUUUUCCGAGUACUAAUGCUAUUGACUUUGGGUUUUCAAUUUCAAACUCAAUGUAAUUAGGUAUUAUUAGUAAAUUUCAUAUGUUGUACUUUGUUCCCCCCCCCCCCAAUUUCAAAUAUAUACUGAUUUGAAUUUUUUACGUAAUGUGUAUUGCCUCUUUUUGAAUUUGUUGUUUUUUUGCGAGAAUUAAUGAUUUUGACUAAGUCUCCCAAAAAUACAGUCCUCCCUCCCACCUUAAAUAUGAGGUACGUAAUAAUUAUUUUAAAUUUUAUGUUUUUUUUUGCCCUAUUAACUUGAACUUGAAAUUCCCCGGGUCAAUUUCAAACUCAAGUUCAUUAGGUAUUAGUAAACAAUGCCUUAAUGUAUAUUUUGUCUAUAUCAAAUUAUAUUUAGGUGAAAUUUUGGGUAAUAAUAUAUAUUGACUGUUUUAUGUUUGUUUUUGUUUUGUUUGCGAGUAACUAAUGCUAUUGACUAUUGGGUUUUCAACUUCAGCUCAAGUAACUAGUAGUUAUUAUAUGUAAUAUGUUGUACUUUGUCAAUUUCACAAAUUAUACUGAAAUGAUUUUUGAGCAUGUGUAUUGACUCUUUUGCCAUUUGUUUUGUUUUGCGGGAAUGAAUGAUUUUUGACUAGUACUCCCAAAAUACAUGCCUCCGCAUCUUUGAAAUAAUUCAGGUACAUAAUAUAUUUUAAAUUUUAUAUAUUUUUUUUUUGCCCUAAUUAACUUGAACUUGAAUUUUCCCGGUUCAAUUUCAAAUUCAAAGUUAAUAGGUAUUUUUAUACAAUGCCUUGAUGUUGUGCUUUUUUCCAUAUCAAAAUAUGUUGAGUUUUAUUUUUUUGAGUAAUAAUAUAUAUAGACUGUUUUGCAUUUGUUUUGGUUUUGGGGGGGGGGGGGGGGUUUGCGGAGCUACUAACGCGAUUGACUAUUGGUUUCACUUAACCUCCAAGGUAAUUAGGUAUUAUUAGUAAAUGUCAUAUGUUGUACUUUGUCAAUUUUUCAAAUUAAUAUCUGCUUUGAAUUUUUUACGUAUGUUAUUGACUCUUUUGCAAUUUGUUUUGUGUUUUGGCGAAAGUAUGAUUUUGACUGAAGUUCUCCAAAAUUAUAUGUCUCCGACCUUUAAAUAUUGGGUACGUAAUAAUGUUUAAAUUUUAUAUGUUUUUUUUUGCCCUUAUUAACUUGACUUGAAAUUCCCCGGGUUCAAUUUCAACUCAAGGUCAAUUAGGUAUUAUUAAAAAUGCCUUAUGUUAUACUUUGUCUAAUAUCAAAUUAUGUUGAGGUUAAAUUUUGGUAAUAAUAUAUAUUGGAUGUUUUAUGUUUGGUUUUGUUUGCGAGUACUAAUGCUAUUGAUAUUGGGUCAAUUCAGCUCAAGGUACUAUGUAUUAUUAGUAAAAUGUCCUAAUGUUGUACUUUGUCAAUUUCAAAUUAUACUGAAAUGAAUUUUGAGCAUGUGUAUGACUCCUUGGCAUUUGUGUGUUUUGGGAGAAUAGGGAUUUUUACUAAGUAUUCCAAAAGACAUGUCUCCGCAUCUUUAAAUAUUGAGGUAC